This 94-nucleotide ribosomal RNA is filed under the name Medicago strasseri. Lineage: Eukaryota; Viridiplantae; Streptophyta; Magnoliopsida; Fabales; Fabaceae. The record is from RNAcentral.
AGGUGCGAUCAUACCAGCACUAAUGCACCGGAUCCCAUCAGAACUCCGCAGUCACGCGUGCUUGGGCGAGAGUUGUACUGGGUGGGUGACCUCC